This 406-nucleotide ribosomal RNA is filed under the name uncultured bacterium. Its description in RNAcentral is "partial 16S ribosomal RNA". It matches the Rfam family "Bacterial small subunit ribosomal RNA", at positions 30 to 526 of the family's 1533-position model. The record is from RNAcentral.
AUUGAACGCUGGCGGCAGGCCUAACACAUGCAAGUCGAACGAGUGGCGGACGGGCGAGUAAUGCUUGGGCAUCUAGCUUAUGGAGGGGGAUAACUACGGGAAACUGUAGCUAAUACCGCGUACCAUAGUAUGAGCCCACGGGGGAUUAGGGAGUUGGUGAGGUAACGGCUCACCUAGGCGACGAUCCCUAGCUGUUCUGAGAGGAUGAUCAGCCACACUGGGACUGAGACACGGCCCAGACUCCUACGGGAGGCAGCAGUGGGGAAUAUUGCACAAUGGGCGCAAGCCUGAUGCAGCCAUGCCGCGUGUAUGAAGAAGGCCUUCGGGUUGUAAAGUACUUUCAGUCGGGAGGCGUUACCGACAGAAGAAGCACCGGCUAACUCCGUGCCAGCAGCCGCGGUAAUUC